UAGGGAAUCUUCGGCAAUGGGGGGAACCCUGACCGAGCAACGCCGCGUGAGUGAAGAAGGUUUUCGGAUCGUAAAGCUCUGUUGUUAAGGAAGAACGAGUGUGAGAAUGGAAAGUUCAUACUGUGACGGUACUUAACCAGAAAGGGACGGCUAACUACGUGCCAGCAGCCGCGGUAAUACGUAGGUCCCGAGCGUUGUCCGGAUUUAUUGGGCGUAAAGCGAGCGCAGGCGGUUAGAUAAGUCUGAAGUUAAAGGCAGUGGCUCAACCAUUGUAGGCUUUGGAAACUGUUUAACUUGAGUGCGGAGGGGGAGAGUGGAAUUCCAUGUGUAGCGGUGAAAUGCGUAGAAAUAUGGAGGAACACCAGUGGCGAAAGCGGCUCUCUGGUCUGUAACUGACGCUGAGGCUCGAAAGCGUGGGGGGCGAACAGG
RNAcentral lists this ribosomal RNA (429 nucleotides) under Bacteroidota bacterium. RNAcentral's name for it is "Bacteroidetes bacterium partial 16S ribosomal RNA". It matches the Rfam family "Bacterial small subunit ribosomal RNA", at positions 355 to 776 of the family's 1533-position model. Lineage: Bacteria; Pseudomonadati; Bacteroidota. The record is from RNAcentral.